Molecule: ribosomal RNA, 662 nt
Filed under: uncultured euryarchaeote
Lineage: Archaea; Methanobacteriati; Methanobacteriota
Description: bacterial SSU rRNA
Rfam family: Archaeal small subunit ribosomal RNA
Source: RNAcentral
GGCUUUUGUGGAAUGUAAAAAGUCUACGAAUAAGGACUGGGUAAGACUAGUGCCAGCCGCCGCGGUAAUACUAGCGGUCCAAGUCGCAGCCAUUCUUAUUGGGUCUAAAACAUCCGUAGCUUGCUUGAUAAGUUUUCUGUGAAAUCUCAUAUCUCAAGUAUAAGAAUUGUGGAAAAUACUGUCAAGCUAGAGACCGGGAGACGUAAAGAGUACGUCUAAAGUAGCGGUAAAAUGUGUUGAUCUUAGGCGGACUGACGAUAGCGAAGGCACUUUACGAGAACGGUUCUGACAGUAAGGGAUGAAGGCUAGGGGCGCAAAACGGAUUAGAUACCCGUGUAGUCCUAGCAGUAAACACUGCACACUAAACCUUGUGAUCUCUUCGAGAGAUUGCAGGGCUGCAGGGAAGCCGAAGAGUGUGCUACCUGGGAAGUAUAGUCGCAAGGCUGAAACUUAAAGGAAUUGGCGGGGAGACACUACAACGGGUGACGCGUGCGGUUCAAUUAGAUUAUACACCGUGAACCUCACCAGGAGCGACAGCAGAAUGAAGGUCAGUCUAAAGGGCUUACCUGACACGCUGAGAGGGGUUGCAUGGCCGACGUCAGCCUGUGCUGUGAGGCGAUCUGUUAAAUCAGAUAACAGGCAAGACCCACAUCUUUAUUUAC